Long non-coding RNA from Cygnus olor (mute swan), 1531 nucleotides. RefSeq lists it as uncharacterized. The record is from RefSeq and is a predicted model, not a curated record. NCBI's taxonomy places the organism in Eukaryota, Metazoa, Chordata, Aves, Anseriformes, Anatidae. The transcript is spliced from 2 exons.
CCGGGAGGGCGCCGAGGGAUCUCUCCUGUCAGGAGGGCGCUGGGUGGAGUCUGCUGCUCCCCUCCCGGAGCCACCUCCAGCUUCGGCGAAACCUGUCGGGCGGUUUCCCCCACGGUGACAGGGCGGAGGGGCGGGAGGCAACGCGCCGCCUCGGAACAGGUUCGGCCCUUCCUUACCUGCUUACGUUGGGCCGCCCCAGAUGAUCGCUGGAAACCAAAAAAAAAAAAAAAAAAAAAAAAAGAAACCAGCCUGUCAGUGAGAAGGCAAGCCUGGAAAAACUGGUCGUGUGAGGGGCGAGGGCUGCAUUCCUGGCCGCCGCGGCAGGGGACGGCUCAUGCACCGCGAGGUGCCCGCGCGGGUAUAAAAGGGCCCCGCACGCCCAGCCGCGGCACUGGGCCGGGGGAGCGGCCGGCAGCCAGCCCCGAGCUGGGGCUUCCCCCUGAGGAGAGUGGCUUGUUUUUCCUCCUUUUUCAACUUUGUGUUUUUUUGUUUUUUUUUUUUUUAAUUUGAAAGCUCGCUGUCUCCCGGCGCGGUCGCGGGACCUUGGCUCCGUGUCCGCCGUGCCGAGAGGAAGAGCCAAGCCCGGGCCUGGAGAGCGAGGGGGAAAGCGCGUCCCCACCGCCCCCCCCUCCCCGCGGCUCCUCAGCCUCCUUGGUGCAGUGGUUCUUAACAGUUCAACAGUUCUCUAUCAUAAUUGUGAAAUGUUUAGGACCACUUGACCAGCGAGGCUCGGGCAUCGGGCCGGCAGCGGCGGACGAGACCUUGCAGCGCCGGGGACCGGCGGCAGAGGGGGGCCGGGCGAUGCGGGGCCCCCGGGGGCUCGGAGCCCCCACACGGAGCCGGGGGAUGGAGGAGUCCUGUUGCCACAACGUGUGCCGGCCGCCCUCCUGAAGGCAGGCUGCUGCGCUUGAUUUAUAACCAUUUAUUCUCUUCUUUCUUUUUUAAUUACUUUUCUCCAUCGAUCCAGAUGCACACAGAUUAAAACAAGUCAGGUUGGCUUUGCUGACUGCCAGGGCUGCACCUCAGAGGCUUACCAGCGGUAAUGUCUGUAACCUGUGAUGGCACUUUUUUUUUUGGUGAACGCACUCUAACUAAGAGCAGCAUACAACUCACACUGUGGUGGUUUGUGCUGUAUUUUCCAUGUAUGUGCUUACUGCAGGCAGUGAAAGGAUUAUCCAAACCUUCACCAGAAUGAUGUUAGAGGGUUUCUGGUUUUAAGACAGUUGCGUUGAUGGUCUGAUCGAAAGGUCUGUGGACUUAAUGGAGCUUGACAGCCUUAUUUAAACUCUGGGUCUUUUAAAAUACAGUUGAAGAACUCAGUCCUUAAAAAGAAGGGGGAAAAAAUAUCUGGAAGGAGUGAUUCUGUCAACAACUUAUUUUUCUUUUAAAAGGAUAGUUUAGUAAACGAGAAGUUCCUCCUACUUUUUGCUCGUUCUUCUCACUGUGCCCUGAGAACCAAAUGGAACUAGAAAUGUGCUCUUUUUUUUAAUCUUAUAUUUAAAUAAAAUGCUCAAGAGACUAAUUCAUAAAA